GAGUGCUGUUGCUCCUAGAUUGAUUUUGAUGAUUACAAAGCAGAUUGAAGGGAUACAAUCAAUUGAAAAAGUCCUUAUGCUCUUCAAGGGCAAAAUCAUAAUUUUGCUAAAAUCCUGAUUUGAUAGUACCAUUUGGUAGAACAAAUGAUUUGAAAUCUAUUGGUGAAAAUUUUAUUGUGUUUGGACUAAUAUUUUUGAAGUUAUGA
Molecule: long non-coding RNA, 206 nt
Filed under: Elaeis guineensis (African oil palm)
Lineage: Eukaryota; Viridiplantae; Streptophyta; Magnoliopsida; Arecales; Arecaceae
Description: long non-coding RNA (EGUI_LNC041598)
Source: RNAcentral